RNAcentral lists this transfer RNA (71 nucleotides) under Loxodonta africana (African savanna elephant). It matches the Rfam family "tRNA". From Rfam's summary of the family: Transfer RNA (tRNA) molecules are approximately 80 nucleotides in length. The record is from Rfam by way of RNAcentral. Lineage: Eukaryota; Metazoa; Chordata; Mammalia; Proboscidea; Elephantidae.
GCAGUGGUAGUUCCAUGGUGGAUUUCUCGCUUUCCAUGCGGGAGACCCGGGUUUGAUUCCCAGCCAGUGUA